Molecule: small nuclear RNA, 23 nt
Filed under: Arabidopsis thaliana (thale cress)
Lineage: Eukaryota; Viridiplantae; Streptophyta; Magnoliopsida; Brassicales; Brassicaceae
Description: snRNA_17151
Source: RNAcentral
UUAUCAGUUAACUGGUCGGUUCA